Long non-coding RNA from Cucurbita maxima (winter squash), 255 nucleotides. RefSeq lists it as uncharacterized. Lineage: Eukaryota; Viridiplantae; Streptophyta; Magnoliopsida; Cucurbitales; Cucurbitaceae. The transcript is spliced from 2 exons. The record is from RefSeq and is a predicted model, not a curated record.
AAUAGAAAUAAAUAGAAACCGGUUUUAAAGUUCUUAAGCCACUCCUUAAUCGACUCUUCGCAGUGUAAGAGUUCGAAUCCAUCGUUUACUCUCUGCUUGCUUCCUCCCGCAAUCUCCAACCAGGUUGGCAGGUAAAGUACAAGCUUGCAUCCAGGCUUCUUCUCUAGUUGAAUGGUAAGAACUCCUAUCAUUUUAAGGAAGAAAUUAAGUGAAUGUGACGCUGAUAAGGUUCAUAUCUGAAAGAAUUUCUGAUUA